CGUGUGAAAGUAGCAUCACAGGACCCAAGCUUCUUUUCUAUCAUCCAGGUACGUAUGUAUGUAUCUAUGAUAUGAUGAUUGGCAUUGUUUGAGAGUUUGAAUAGUGUGAAGGAGAGGGACGACGAACUUCUUCUGAGUUGGAAGUAGGUUGCUUGGUUGUUCAGGUGAAUGUAUGUUGAGAAGUAAACAAACAACAGGGCUUCUUCUUAGUCCCACAUCGACUAAAUAUGUGAAAAUUUUAGUCUUUAUAUUACACUACAUCACCUCUUAGCUUGUCACUUCGGGGACAUCCGAUAAAAUUGGAACGAUACAGAGAAGAUUAGCAAGGCCCCUGCGCAAGGAUGACACGCACAAUUCGAGAAAUGGUUCAAAUUUUU
This 377-nucleotide long non-coding RNA is filed under the name Medicago truncatula (barrel medic). Lineage: Eukaryota; Viridiplantae; Streptophyta; Magnoliopsida; Fabales; Fabaceae. The record is from RNAcentral.